Molecule: long non-coding RNA, 216 nt
Filed under: Capsicum annuum
Lineage: Eukaryota; Viridiplantae; Streptophyta; Magnoliopsida; Solanales; Solanaceae
Description: long non-coding RNA (CANN_LNC008552)
Source: RNAcentral
CCAUACUGACACUGGUACGGGGUUCUAAGUACUAAUUUACUGAUGUCUGAGUUUAUUGAUAAUGAUAACUGAGUUUACUAAAUACUAAGAGACUGAUGUUAUAUUAGUAAUAAAGGAAAGACUAUUUUUUACAGUUUUAAUUAUGAAAAACUAGUUUGAUUGACAGUAUCUGACAGUCAUGAAACUGAAUACUAAUAACAUUGGUUUAAUAUAAUU